RNAcentral lists this long non-coding RNA (322 nucleotides) under Dasypus novemcinctus (nine-banded armadillo). RNAcentral describes it as "lncRNA (ENSDNOG00000050957.1)". The record is from RNAcentral. Lineage: Eukaryota; Metazoa; Chordata; Mammalia; Cingulata; Dasypodidae.
CUGCCCUGCACUGCACAGUGCAGCCAUGAUCAUGAAGCAGCCCACCUGGACUUAAUGCCUGAAGCCAUUGCUGCAUCGUAGAACUUCUUAUGAUCAACCUGAGACUUCAUAAGGCAACAUUUUUUCUCUAAUCCUCCACAUAGGAUUUCAGAAGGCAUCAAAGUGCCCUUUUCUGCUGUUGGGAGAAUUAAAUCUUGAACAAAAUUCCCAUCUGACCAGUUGCCCAUCACAUCUCCAUCCAAGGCUUGUUGCUUGAUGAUCCUCAGUCAUGGCCUCUGAUACCUUCAGACAGAAACCAGCCCACAGAGGUGAGUAUAUUAUG